This is a long non-coding RNA of Capsicum annuum, 4203 nucleotides long. RefSeq lists it as uncharacterized. The transcript has 2 exons. NCBI's taxonomy places the organism in Eukaryota, Viridiplantae, Streptophyta, Magnoliopsida, Solanales, Solanaceae. The record is from RefSeq and is a predicted model, not a curated record.
UGAGUUGCUAGAUCUACCUCUUGGGAUUAUGUUUGAAUAGGGUGCAAGUGUGUGGGUUGUGAUAGAUUUGUGUAGAUUUUAGUUUGUUGAUAAUAGUUUUGUUAUUGCUUGAUUAAAUAGGUUGGAAUUUGUAGGUGAAAGCCCCAAUCACCCCAAAUGGGUUUGAUGGGUGAAAACCCCAAGCUCUUGAAAGCUCAAUGUCAUCUUCAAAAGAAGGGUUUUGGGUGAAGUUUAGGAAUCCAUAUCAUCCUCGAAAGAAGGAUGUGAAGACCAAAGCAAUCGUAGACAAUUAUGUGUGUAGUUUACGAAUCUAUCAUUAUCUUAGACGUAAGGGUGGUUGUGAAGUUAACUAUGCCAUGGGUUUCAUACUAGAAAUAGGGAUUCCCAAUUGGGGUAUUGGGUUGUUUUGCUUGACACUUUUUUUAGGUGCUCGAAAGAGCCAAUGAGUGAAAUCUUUGUGGUUUUGUCGAAAGACUAUCCUCAAGGACGGUAGACCUAGUCUACCGUAUCAUCAUAAUUAGAAUUUACAUCAAAUUGUCAUGUUCCCAUGCACAUCUUGCCCCUAGGAAAGCAUAGUCCCAAGAUUCAUUUUAAUUGAUUACACUCUAAUUGAUCUUAGUCUCAAAUUAGUCCCUUAGAAGCCCAACAAUUGCAUUCGCAUUCGACAUGAUUAAACCCCCUCCCCACCCCCCCAUUUUAUCUUUUUGUAUCAUUUGUUUAAAUUUAACUUAUAACUAUAAUUUUGAAUUAGUUUAAUCGUCACUCACAUUGUUCCUCGUGGAUUCGACCCCGACUCCAAAGUUAGGUAAAUAUAUUGAUGACAACCGCCUUGCACUAAAUUGACGUAUAAGUUGAGCGUUAUCAAAAAUGGCGCCAUUGCUGGGGAACAAUUUGGCGUAUCAAGUUAGAUUGGAAUUUUAGCUUACUUGCUUUAAUUCAAACUUGUAAAUAUUUGUUUGUGAUCUUCUUUGUUUCUUGUGUUAGGUAGAUUUUCUUUAUUUCUUACUACGGCAUCAAGGAAUGAAUGUGAGUUUGGUGGUUGGAAAUAUUACCGUGAUAGUCCAUGUCCAUAUUGUGAUGAGCCCAACUUUUGGUGAGAUUGUAGAUAUGCUCCUCGGAAAGAGAUGUGUGCACCGUCUGUCUCUUAUAGGGAGUAUGAUUGUUCUUUAUGUGGUGGUCGAGAUGGACAUUGGAGCGAUUGUCCAAAUGCCCCUGCCCCUCGGUAUUCUAACUCAAAUGCUAGUUCUUAUGAUUUUGAUAGGUCUUAUGGUCAAGAAAAGAAAGAACGAAGCACCGAAAAAAGUGGCAUUGAAACUAUGCUUCAGAUAAUCUUGGAUCGUUUAGAAUCAAUGGGAGAUAACAUACAUGAUAUACAUCAGGACAUGGAGUAUGUAAUGAGGAAAGAGAGAUGAUAGAAGAGAUGGAUGUGGAGGUCAAUCAUUCAAACACCACAACUAUGCCCGCUCUUCUAAACGAGCUUGAUGUUGAGGAAUCCUCGGUGGAUUCCCCACCAACCGAACCAACCAUGAGGGAUGAUGCCAAGAUUGAGUAAAUGGUGCUAGAGUCAAAAGAAGAAACCAACCAAAUCUCUUAUGAAGACGCUAGCCCAAUUUGGGGUGAAGAUGUCGAGAAGGAUGCAACCCCAAAAUUAGGGAGAAGACCUCACUCCAACCACUUUUCAACAUUAUGCUUGGCAGAUAUGAUGAAAGUCGAACCACCCAAGCAAAUGAUGAAUUUUGAAGAUGAGGAGGAAAAUCCCUACAUUUUGGAGUUUGUCAUUCCAAAAGGGCAAAAUAAAGCCCCUCACUUGAAGGCCAAUUAAUGCAAAAUUCGGUGUGUAACAAGUGAAUUUUUAAUGCUCUCGCCAAUACCCAACGAGCCUAUUAGAAAGUUUGUUGUGAAGUUGGGUAAAAGGUUUAAAACUUCAAGGUGGUGAGAUAGAAAAUAUUUCAUUGUGUCCUUACCUUUGCCUAAAAUGCCUCAAAGAUGUAUUGAUCUAAAGUUGGGCAGCCGUUUCAAGUCUUCCAAAUGGAGACACAAAUUUGAUAGGCAAAAGGAUAUCGUGCCGCGAAGUUAACUAAGGCGCUUCUUGGGAGGCAACCCAAGAUUUAUUUUUGAUGUUUUUAAUAUUUUUGAUACAAAUUUUAGCUAAAUUUUAGUUGUUGCAGGUGAUUUUAUGAAAUUUGAGGUGUGAGAAGAUUGAUUCGGAGACUUGAAACUAAGCUCCGAACCAAAUUUUUCUUAAUGGGUUCUAAAGAUUUUCAUUCACAUUUUAGUUUAGUGUUGUUUGAUGCAGGUGAUAGAAUAAGAUUUGGGCGCGAGAAACUUGACUCGGAGGCUCAAAACUAAGCUCCGAACCAUGCACAUGUGAAGGAAAGUUCAGUCUUAAAACUGGAACAACUUGCGCUGGGAAUGCUUCAGCAUUCCAGGCACAAUUUCAAGGCACUUCAGACGCAGACAAGGCAAUUGUUUCUGUGGUAAUAUGCACUGGAAAUGCUAGCACAUUCCAGGCGCAUUUCAAGCACAUUUUGGGUGCAAAUUGGAGCCAAAAAUCUGGUCAGUUUCUUCCUGGAAAUGAGAUGGAAAUGCUGCAGCAUUCCAGACGUAUUUCUAUCACAGAAGUUGAGAAAAAAACUGGUCAGUCUCUGAUUUGAACUGUGCUGGAAAUGCUGCAGGAUUCCAGGCGCAGUUUUGGCACAUUUCAGACACAAUUUUAAGCCAAAAUCCAGUAACUUUCUGCUCCAAUAUGAUCUGGAAAUGCUAUAACAUUCCAGGCGCAGUUCACCUUAAAAGCUACUGUGAUGUUGUAAAAAUGGAUUGGUUAAGUGGGAUGACCCGACCCAGUCAGCCCAAACUCAAUUUAAACGCUUAAAGAAAGCCCAAAACAGUGAAAUUUUCCAUUCUUCCAUUAAAGUUAUUUUCCAACAUUCCCUUUCUCUCACACUAAAUUUUUCUCUCUUUCUUUGUCAACAAUUAAACUAGCAAGAAUUGUAAUAACUACUAUGGACUUGAUCUUCAUCUUUCUCCUAUCUUAACUCAACAAAGAUAUGUCUUCACAAAAGAACUUGCCACGAGAGGCUCCUAUUGAGACAGGAGACAAAAGAACUUACCACAGGGAGUCUCUACCCUCCUCUACUCUCUUUUAUUUUUGCAUUGGGGAUAAUGCUAUGUCUUUAGUGAGGGUGGGACACUUCUAUGUGAUCGGUACUUACUGUCUCAUUUUAUGGCAUGUGGUUUGAUGGAUUGUGGAGAGAUAUUCUAUUCUAUUACGUUGAUGUUUGUGUACUUUAGUAGAUGUUUUAGUACGUUUAUAGCAUUUAAUUAAUUAUUCGCAUUGCUCUUGUCGCCUUUGUAUAUACGUGUUCAAUAAACUCCAACGAUUUUCUUUGAAACUCGGUUCUUUCCUAAGGAGCAAAAAUUUUUACUUUUUUCUUUUUCUUUUCUUUUGAUCUUGUAAUUUGAUUUUUAGUAUAGUUUGUUUGUCGAACCGAGUGAUAAUUCACCCAUGAUGGAUGACAAGGUGACAUCUUUAGGUGAAAUAUCUUGUCAUUGUGAUUAACUAGGAAGAAGCAAAAAUUGAGAAACUUUCCAAAAGUCAUUGGCAAAGAAUAAAUUGUUUUUGGAGAAAAAUCAAAAAUAUAGUUUUAAGAUCAAGGAUGUUUUGAGAAUUCUUUUGAGUGAGACCAUUAAACUCAAUUUCUGGAUCUCUCUUUACAAGGAUGAGUCAUUGACUCGGAGUAACUUACGAAGCUCAAAUUGCUCAAAUUGAUUGGGAAAUUAACUUUUUACUCUAUGAGUACGAUGCCAUGAGUGGUGAGAUUUUUUUCAUCAUUCGUGUGCAUAUGUGUAGUCUAGAACUUUCCCCAAGUGUAUCCAAAGCGAAAUCCUAGACAAGCUUGGUUUGGAGGAUGACUUGAGGCCCUUUUUGACCUGUCACAUAGCCAAAUGCCCUCCUUAACAUUGUUCCCUAGCUAACCCAUUUGAACAUUUUUGCCCGUAUUUCUUUCUUAUUGUAAUGAUAACCAUGCUAAAACACCUAAGCCCUUUUCAAAAUUGCUCGUUUGGCACCUAACCUCGUUUGAUGCAUUGCAUGAUUCAAAAUAGUGAAUUAUAGGCAAAAGACUAAGUUUGGAGGGUUGUGUAUUCAGAAGAAGAAAAUCAAAGGAAAGAUAAAAAAAAAAAAAGGUGUAUGUAAGGUUGUCA